GACGAACGCUGGCGGCGCGCUUAACACAUGCAAGUCGAGCGAAGCGGCGGACGGGUGCGUAACACGUGAGUAACCUGCCUUAGACAUUGGGAUAGCCUCGGGAAACCGGGAUUAAUACCAAAUGGUCUAAGAUGGACUCGCGUCCCAUUAGCGAGUUGGUGAGGUAACGGCCCACCAAGGCGACGAUGGGUAGCCGGACUGAGCGGGUGACCGGCAACAUUGGAACUGAGAAACGGUCAAAACUCUACGGGGGGCAGCAGUGGGGAAUAUUGCACAAUGGAGGGAAAUCUGAUGCAGCGACGCCGCGUGAACGAAGAAGUCUUUCGAGUCGUAAAGUACUUUUAUAUGGGAAGCGGUACCAUAAGAAAAAGCCCCGGCUAACUACGUGCCAGCAGCCGCGGUAAUAC
Molecule: ribosomal RNA, 407 nt
Filed under: uncultured bacterium
Lineage: Bacteria
Description: partial 16S ribosomal RNA
Rfam family: Bacterial small subunit ribosomal RNA
Source: RNAcentral